This 489-nucleotide ribosomal RNA is filed under the name uncultured bacterium. Its description in RNAcentral is "bacterial SSU rRNA". It matches the Rfam family "Bacterial small subunit ribosomal RNA", at positions 29 to 511 of the family's 1533-position model. The record is from RNAcentral.
AUUAAACGCUGGCGGCAUGCCUUACACAUGCAAGUCGAACGGCAGCACGGGGGCAACCCUGGUGGCGAGUGGCGAACGGGUGAGUAAAGCAUCGGAACGUGCCCUGGAGUGGGGGAUAACGUAGCGAAAGUUACGCUAAUACCGCAUAUUCUGUGAGCAGGAAAGCAGGGGGAUCGCAAGACCUUGCGCUCUGGGAGCGGCCGAUGUCGGAUUAGCUAGUUGGUGGGGUAAAGGCCUACCAAGGCGACGAUCCGUAGCGGGUCUGAGAGGAUGAUCCGCCACACUGGGACUGAGACACGGCCCAGACUCCUACGGGAGGCAGCAGUGGGGAAUUUUGGACAAUGGGCGCAAGCCUGAUCCAGCCACGCCGCGUGAGUGAUGAAGGCCCUCGGGUUGUAAAGGACUUUUGUCAGGGAGCAAAUCCUAACAGCUAAUAUCUGUUGGGGAUGAGAGUACCUGAAGAAUAAGCACCGGCUAACUACGUGCCAG